Molecule: ribosomal RNA, 252 nt
Filed under: uncultured bacterium
Lineage: Bacteria
Description: partial 16S rRNA
Rfam family: Bacterial small subunit ribosomal RNA
Source: RNAcentral
GUGUCAGCAGCCGCGGUAAUACGUAGGUGGCGAGCGUUGUCCGGAUUUACUGGGCGUAAAGGGAGCGUAGGCGGAUAUUUAAGUGGGAUGUGAAAUACCCGGGCUUAACUUGGGUGCUGCAUUCCAAACUGGAUAUCUAGAGUGCAGGAGAGGAAAGUGGAAUUCCUAGUGUAGCGGUGAAAUGCGUAGAGAUUAGGAAGAACACCAGUGGCGAAGGCGACUUUCUGGACUGUAACUGACGCUGAGGCUCGA